AGUUAUAUGCUUGUCUCAAAGAUUAAGCCAUGCAUGUCUAAGUACAAGCGAAAAUAAAGUGAAACCGCAAAAGGCUCAUUAUAUCAGUUAUGGUUCCUUAGAUCGUAUCCACAAUUACUUGGAUAACUGUGGUAAUUCUAGAGCUAAUACAUGCAAUUAAAGAGAAACCAGUUAAAUGGGAUCUCUGCUUUUAUUAGAUUUAAACCAAUGGGGUACGUUUCGGCGUUCUCAAAAUAAAAAAUGGUUGAACUCUGGAUAAUUUGUUGAUCGCAUGGUCUUGUACCGGCGACGGAUCUUUCAAAUGUCUGCCCUAUCAACUAUUGAAGGUAGUGUCUUGGACUACCUUGGUUGCAACGGGUAACGGGGAAUCAGGGUUCGAUUCCGGAGAGGGAGCCUGAGAAACGGCUACCACAUCUAAGGAAGGCAGCAGGCGCGUAAAUUACCCACUCCCGGCACGGGGAGGUAGUGACGAAAAAUAACAAUACAAGACUCACAUCCGAGGCCUUGUAAUUGGAAUGAGUACACUUUAAAUCCUUUAGCAAAAAUCCAUUGGAGGGCAAGUCUGGUGCCAGCAGCCGCGGUAAUUCCAGCUCCAAUAGCGUAUAUUAAAGUUGUUGCGGUUAAAACGUUCGUAGUUGAACUUGUGUUUCGCACGGGCAGUGCCUAGGACUAGUUUACUAGGACGGUACUUGUCUUAUCUUUCUCUGUCUUUAAUCGGGCUUGGAAAAAGUGCGUGAACGUAUUAUCGGCGUGUUCGUGGCGCACAACGCGCGCUCGUGCAUUGCGUUCGCAUCACGCGAACGUUGGUGUCGCGUGCGUGCUUGUGCGUUCCGUUCGCAUAAGCCCAUUUCAGUGCUCUUCACCGAGUGUUGUUGUGGGCCGAUACAAAUUACUUUGAACAAAUUAGAGUGCUUAAAGCAGGCUUGCAAUGCCUGAAUAUUUUGUGCAUGGAAUAAUGGAAUAGGACAUCUGUUCUACUUUCAUUGGUUUUUUAGACCAAGAUGUAAUGAUUAAUGGAAGCAGUUGGGGGCAUUAGUAUUACAACGCGAGAGGUGAAAUUCUUAGACCGUUGUAAGACUGACUAAAGCGAAAGCAUUUGCCAAAGAUGUUUUCAUUUAAUCAAGAACGAAAGUUAGAGGUUCGAAGGCGAUC
RNAcentral lists this ribosomal RNA (1152 nucleotides) under Sciarokeroplatus pileatus. Its description in RNAcentral is "bacterial SSU rRNA". It matches the Rfam family "Eukaryotic small subunit ribosomal RNA", at positions 21 to 1009 of the family's 1831-position model. Lineage: Eukaryota; Metazoa; Arthropoda; Insecta; Diptera; Keroplatidae. RNAcentral also lists the same sequence under 1 other name. The record is from RNAcentral.